Molecule: long non-coding RNA, 1934 nt
Organism: Dermochelys coriacea (leatherback sea turtle)
Lineage: Eukaryota; Metazoa; Chordata; Testudines; Dermochelyidae
Exons: 3
Source: RefSeq, a predicted model, not a curated record
GGGAUAGUGAAGGGAAGAUUGCCAUCUUGGAAGAAGAGACUGAUACCACGGAAGCGGAAAAUGCCCAGUGACCUGGCCAGAGGGCCAAGCCACACAGACACAGCACCCUGAGUCACAGAGCAUGAGAGAGAGAAAGAGAGAGGAGCAGCAGCAGAAAGGGGCAUAGGAUUUCAGUGGAGCUAAUCCCCAGCAGUGGCCAGGAGGAGAUGCCAUCCAGCAGCACCAGAACGGGACACAGUAUUCCAGCAGUGGUUGCACUAGUGCCAAAUAAAGAGCAGCCCAAUGGCAUGUGGAGCCGAGCAUAGGUGUUGGGAGGAAAAGAGAGGAUCUGUUCUGGAGACAUGUAGCGCCUUCAGCCCAGUCCCAUAGAAUGCUGGGGAGGAGCCAGAGGCCCUUACCUUCAGGUGGCUAUUUAUUCCAUUGAAAGUAUAGAACAGUGCUGAGAUCAGCUCCCGCUUGCAGGCUGAUGUUUCAGUCUCCCUUGGUGUUGGACCAGAGUAGCCCCAGUCUGCGUACAGGCACCGGUGAUCUGAUUCCCUGUGAAUUGUGGGGCUCUCCAAUGGACGCAGUAGUGAAGAAGAAGGGCAGAGCAGUGAUUUCUUGUCUGUGUGUAUCCACUGGCCAUUCUUCCCUGUGGAGGGAGACCACACUCAUCAUGUGGGAUUGUACAGUUGGAAGACUGCAGUCAUGAAUACAGAGUGGCUCUGCUGCCACUCUGUGGGCUGAGGGUUUGUCCCCGCUCCCUGCUUCAGUCCCUGCAGAGACCCUCAGCAUGCGAACUAGCCAUUUGAGCUAUGUGCACUGUGAAUCCGACAGAAUAAACUGAGUAAAACAACUUGUUAAACCGCUCAUUAUAUCUGAUUUGAUUUCAUCAGCUUUGGAGGACAGUGAAUCACACCGUGCUUAGGAGCAAUGUGUCUCAAAUGCUCAUGGCUGUUAGGGUGCAAGCUAUUUCUUUCUCUCUCUGAUUAGAUUGUCAUGCAUACUGGUAAAUUGCAUUGUUUGUAGAUUAUAUUGUGUUCUUGCAGCAUAAUACUUGGACUGCAUCAUUUUAUACAAUAUGUUUAAAAAGAAGAGUUAAAAAAUAAAGGAUGGGCUGAUAUUGUUCCAAUGAUGCAUCUAAUGCAAUGCAAUGAUAAAUGCAUGUAGAAGUAAUGUGCCUGAGGAUGAUUUUGGGCACCAUGCAAAGGUCACUGUCUUCAGACUCUAAUUUCCCAGCAAAUGUGACAUUUAAAUUGUAUAUCAUUAAGAUCACAAGAAAUGUAUUUAUAUCCUCUGUUACUGGGAUCAUUUUUACACACAUUACAUGUUUGAUAUAUUAUGUGCUAUUUGGAUCACAGUGCAUUUACAUCAUAAUAUAAUGUCAUGUGCCAUCACCAAGACAUUGUGUGCUAGGCACAAAAUGUUACUCAUUUGCAAGUUGUCUUUGUAUGAGCUGUCACAAAGCAACUGGGUAGUGCCAACAUUAUUGGAGAUGUUUUAAAAAGGAUUGGGCAAAUAAUCCAAACCUGAACCAUGAAAAGGGGAAGUCGUAUUAAGAUAAACAUGUGUGUGCAUGCAUGCAUACAUAUGAACUGAGUGCUGAACCAUUUCUCCAGUGUUAGCUUUAAUGUAUACAACUCUCAUUGGAACUUAGUGUCCAAGAAAUGACGUUUCAACUCCUAUAGGAAUUGCACUUUUUUUUUUGGAACCAAUAAGAGGACUUGAAUUGCGCGUUUAAUGAGGCUGCUCAUUUAAUGUAUCUAAUUAGUAUUUUUUACCAUCCUCAUAUUUCUUUGAUUUAAAACAUUGUGUUUUAGCUUUGUAUACUUUAAAGCCAUUAUUAUUCAUCUAAGACAAACUGUAUUAUGGGAGGUCCUUUUUUGGUCCUGUUUAGUAUAUAUGAGUUGAUAAUUUCAACUGUCUGGAAGCAGGUUUAAAUAUGCUAGAAUUAU